RNAcentral lists this ribosomal RNA (446 nucleotides) under uncultured bacterium. RNAcentral's name for it is "SSU rRNA". It matches the Rfam family "Bacterial small subunit ribosomal RNA", at positions 26 to 518 of the family's 1533-position model. The record is from RNAcentral.
AGAGCGAACGCUGGCGGCAGGCUUAACACAUGCAAGUCGAGCGGGCGUAGCAAUACGUCAGCGGCAGACGGGUGAGUAACGCGUGGGAACGUACCUUUUGGUUCGGAACAACCCAGGGAAACUUGGGCUAAUACCGGAUAAGCCCUUACGGGGAAAGAUUUAUCGCCGAAAGAUCGGCCCGCGUCUGAUUAGCUAGUUGGUGAGGUAAUGGUUCACCAAGGCGACGAUCAGUAGCUGGUCUGAGAGGAUGAUCAGCCACAUUGGGACUGAGACACGGCCCAAACUCCUACGGGAGGCAGCAGUGGGGAAUAUUGGACAAUGGGCGCAAGCCUGAUCCAGCCAUGCCGCGUGAGUGAUGAAGGCCCUAGGGUUGUAAAGCUCUUUUGUGCGGGAAGAUAAUGACGGUACGCAAGAAUAAGCCCGGCUAACUUCGUGCCAGCAGCCGC